UUUGGAGUUGAUAUGACUUUGUAAGAGCUUUGCAAAGUAGAGGUUUGUUUCGGAUGACUUGGGUUUUAUGAAAUAAAAUAGGGUUUAUGUUUUGAGUGAUUUCGAGAGUUUUGUUGCAGAUCUAUAAGUGAAAUUUUUUGGGUUCAUGAUUAUAGUUGUGUUAAAUACAUGUUGUGAAUUUGAGCUCGAUCUAACAGUUGAAGUGAGAGAUAUUGAGGUUUAAGUGGAUCAAGGUCUUAGAAAGUAGAAUUUUAGGUCUAGUGAGGGUUUUUAAGAUUUCAUGCAAUCUACUAGUUGGAUUGGAGUAAAACUUAUGUGAGAGGGUAUUAGACUUGUUUUUCUAUGUCCAUGAGAAAUUUGAAACCAAUCGAACGGCACAAAGAAGAGAAAUUGGCUCUAGAAGGUUGGCAUCAAGAUUGGAGAAGGAGGCCGGCUAACACUCAAACACAUUUUUGAGGUUUUCGUCAAUUUGGUAACUCCGAUCCUUUUCAAAUUUAUUUGUACUUAUUUUAAAUUUGAUUUUUAAGAAGUAUGCAAAUUUUGAAUUGAGAUCAACGGUUUAUUCAUUAGAUAUUGAGGUUUAAAUCUGUCAUAGGAAUUACUAGGAUUUGGAUUAGGGCUUGGCUAGGGUUCGAUUUAGGGUUUGAUUUAGAGUUUAGGGGUUGGAUUAGGGUUUGGAUUAGGAUUUAGAAUUUGGUGAGGAUUUGAUUUAGGAUUUGGAUUAGGGUUUGGAUUAGGAUUUGGAUUAGAGUUUGGAUUAGGGUUUAAGGUUUGGUUAGGAUUUGAUUUAGGAUUUGAAUUAGGAUUUGGAUUAGGAUUUAGGAUUUGGUUAGGGUUUGAUUUAGGGUUUGGAUUAGGGUUUAGGAUUGGAUUAGAGUUUGGAUUAGGAUUUAGGAUUUGGUUUAGGAUUUGAUUUAGGAUUUGGUUUAGGAUUUAGGGUUUGAAAUAGGGUUUGAUUUAGGAUUUAAUUUAAGAUUUGUUUAGGAUUUGACUUAGGAUUUAGGAUUUAUUAGGAUUUAGGAUUUAUUAGGGUUUAAUAUUUAAUUAGGUUUGGUCUAAAGUUUGAGUGAAAUUCAAUAGGAUUUUAACUAGAAUUAAAUUAAGGUUGAAUUAACAUAUAUUUGAGUAAUAUUUGUGUUUAUUCUAAUAUUUCUUUAAGAAUUUUAUUAUUUGUUUGAAAUUUCUGUGAAUUGUUUUGAAUUUGAUUACGUUUGUUUACCAUUAUUAUAGUCUAAUUAGAGCAUUGUUAGUAUUCUAUUAGAAUUAGGAUUUUGUUAUCGCAAUUUCUAUUCUUCCUUCUACAGCCAGGUGCCCGGAGCAUUCUCAAGCAAGACUUCACAGAUUACGACAACGCUGCAUAAAUAGGAGUGGAUCUAUGUAGAAUAGAUAUUAGUUUGUUUUUGUAAGAUAUUAGUAAAAUAGAUUAAUAGUCCAUAGAAUAGUCAGUUCAGGAGGACGGAUGGUUGAUUUAGUUAUGAAAAGUCGUUUAUUACAAGAUUACGGUUAGGAUUUGGAAAUCAAUAGGAAUUAUAUAGGAAU
This 1539-nucleotide long non-coding RNA is filed under the name Physcomitrium patens. RNAcentral's name for it is "long non-coding RNA (PPAT_LNC013094)". The record is from RNAcentral. Lineage: Eukaryota; Viridiplantae; Streptophyta; Bryopsida; Funariales; Funariaceae.